This 253-nucleotide ribosomal RNA is filed under the name uncultured bacterium. Its description in RNAcentral is "partial 16S ribosomal RNA". It matches the Rfam family "Bacterial small subunit ribosomal RNA", at positions 524 to 776 of the family's 1533-position model. The record is from RNAcentral.
UACGAAGGGGGCUAGCGUUGUUCGGAAUUACUGGGCGUAAAGCGCGUGUAGGCGGCUCUUUAAGUCAGGGGUGAAAUGCCAAGGCUCAACCUUGGAACUGCCUUUGAUACUGGGGACCUUGAGUCCGGGAGAGGUGAGUGGAAUUGCGAGUGUAGAGGUGAAAUUCGUAGAUAUUCGCAAGAACACCAGUGGCGAAGGCGGCUCACUGGCCCGGAACUGACGCUGAGACGCGAAAGCGUGGGGAGCAAACAGG